Molecule: long non-coding RNA, 3367 nt
Filed under: Anthonomus grandis grandis
Lineage: Eukaryota; Metazoa; Arthropoda; Insecta; Coleoptera; Curculionidae
Description: uncharacterized LOC126742801
Source: RNAcentral
CGCUAGUCUGUUAUGUGGUCGCCAGUGUGGCGGCAACCAGCGAGCCUGCAAGAGCGUUAUUUAUUUUCAUAUUAUUUCGCGCCAAGAAUUGCGUCUGCUAUUCAGUUCUGCGUGGCGCUGAGCUAAGUAGCGAUUAUUUACAUAAUGAAUUUGCCAAAAAGUUUUAACUACAGUUUAAUCGAUAAAAAUAAGUACAGAGUUGACAUUAAAAACGAAAAAGACAUAUAUAAAUGGCUAAAUGAAUAUAAAGGUAUUUAUUUUUCAAGCUGGAAAGCUACAAACACGAAAAAAAUACCCCCCACUAUUUAUGCAGUAUAACUUAUGUAUGUCAUCAUUCAGGCUAUCGAAGAGUCCCACCAAACACUAAUAAAAAAAGAAAGUCUAAAAAUUCAAAUUGCAUGGCUAAAAUAAAAAUAUCGAUUAAACAUACAACAAAGGAUACUAUGAAAAAAGAUAAAUUCGUUAAGGACGGUUUGCCAGAUAUUAUGAAUAUAAUUGGAGAUCAUAAUCAUAAUUUGGAAUCAGGUGAAAGCCUUUCAUGCCUUCGUCCAUCCGCUGAAACCAGAGCCAAAUAUUUUUCUUAUUUUGAUAAUGGAAUGGGAAUUAAAGAGUCUAGUUUAUCAUGAGUCUAAAUUAGAAUUUAAAUUUGGCUUUGACAGUAAACUUCUAGCAAAUGCAGAAAUCAAUCCAAAAUAUCGUACAGUGCAGCACUGGCAUGAUAUAUGGAGAACUGAAAAUUUGGGACCUCGUGAUGGAAUUGGGGUUUUGGAGAAACUAAAACAAACAGUUAUUGUUUAUGAAGCUGAAGGUAUUUUAGUAAAAUAUAACGUUUGCCAUCAUUGUUGUAACAACCAUUAUGCAGCGGGAAUACAAUCUCCCAUUUGAAAAAAGAUGUUGUUUUUACAGAUAGCACAGCUUCUUGCAAUGCAUUAAGCCAUUCGGUUCAUAUAUGCCAAUCUAUUUGGCGCUGGCUCUGUGAAAAAAAGAAUGGAAUACUCCAAGACGAACGACAAUUUUUAUUUAAGACAUUCCGAACUAUAUUAUUAGCAUCGACUAUUGAGAAAGCCACAGAAUCAUUUAAGAUUAUUUUUGAAAACCAACGAUUUCUACAAUGGAAAAAAUAUAUAACUAGUGAAAUAACAGUAAGGCCUUUUUAAGGACAUAGUUCUACUUUAAUAGACAUCAGCUGUACUACCUUAGAGGAAUAUUAUAGAAGACAACUUCAAAAUUUCGUAAACAGUAGAGAUGCAGCUUCAAGAUUACUCUUUAAAAGGCAAUUAGAAAAAAUGAAAUAUUUAAAAAAGGAAGAUAUAAUAAAAUUAUCAGAAAAUUUAUACAAAGUCCCUAGUGAGCGAAAUUGCGAUGUGCUCUACGAAGUCGACAUAGCCACUGGAUUUUGCAGCUGUGAAAUUGGGAGAUUGGGUGCAUUUUGCAAGCACCAAGCUGCGAUUGCACACAUUUUUAAUAUAUCUGUCAGCAACGUUCCAGCUACUAAUCCUGAAGAUCGAUACGAAAUAGCUAAAUUAGCUUUUGGCGAAAAAGUUCAACCUUUCGCAUUUUAUAGCGGGCUUAUAGGAUCCAGUGUAUGUAUUACAGAAAAGUAUACUAAUAACAACUUUAAUAACAUGGAUGAAAAUAAUGUUAGAGAAGAUAUUUCUAUAAAUAAAAAUGAAAUAGCUAAAUAACAACAAAUCUCAUUUGCAGAUUUUAUUAAUACGCUACAAGAUAAAAAUGUUACAUUUGAAACUGAUUCAUCAACGUUAAAAUUAUUGAAUGAGAGAUUAUCCCAUAUUAAAACCAAAACGGCUUGGGAAAGUUUUUUAAAGACUGCAGGAAGCUCCUCGGCAAGACGAUUUGGACACAAGGCCAGUAUAAGAGUACAACCAACUUCAAUCAGCCGAAGAAAGUUAGAAAAGUUACUAGAGGGUCAAAAAGGUUACCAUUUGGGCGACCACCUAAGGAUGAAACUUCUAAAAAAAGAUUAAAAAGGCGCCACAAUCUUUCUGCCAACAUCGCAGAAAAUCAAAGAAAUGCAACUAAACAUGGCGAAGGACAUGAAUUUCGCAUAAUUAUUAAUUAUUCUGGUUUAAAAGAUUCUUUUUUUUUAAUAUUAAUUUGAAUAAAUGUUGUUUACUUCCUAAUAUUAUUGUUUUAGUUUUCUUUAAUAAUGCAUUAAUAAAUAUUUUAAAAUCAGUCUCCUUGUAACUGAUUUGCUUACGUCCGCGCCCGCAUAAUAUUAUGUAACAUUCCGCUUAUGAAUUUUGCACCGAAUCACAUUCCAUAUACGUGUUUGGCACCUCGCUGUCUAUUGGUUGAAUCAUGACCGCGUGCAGCAAAGAACCAAUGGUAAAGCCCUAGGUGCCAAAUACAUAUACGGAAUGUUUAGAUGCGUUCCGGUUUGCAGGUGUGACCUCAGCAACAUUUCUUGCAUUAGUCCGGUGAAACUACGCGUUUAACUGGAGCGCGGGAAUUAAAUUGUCACAAAAAUAAUUCUUUUUCCAAAUAAUGUAAUUUUUUUAUAUAAUCGUUUUUUCAGAUACUUUAGGGUAGUAAGACUGAGUUUAGUGUCAAAUAUAUUGGCAUUUAAAUAUAUGAAUACACUGCUCAGAUUUCUAAAGCGACCGUAUUAUGAUGGCUCCAGCGGGCCAAUCAGAAUCUUAAAGAGAUUCCGAUUGGUGGCUACUAUAUAUACCCAGAGAAAAAUAUUCUCAAAAGUUCCAAAAGAGACAUGGCAACGGCGCUUUUUAACCAAGAAAAACGGAGAAAAUAUGUCGUCAUUUAGUAAAUUAGCGCCAAUAAAUUUGAUUUUAAGCCAUCCGACAGUGCCAUUUGCUUUAAAUGCGGUAAGUUUCGGUUGUUUUUUCCAUUAAAAAAAAACGGGCUUUCAUUUACAAAAAAGAAGACAAAUUCGUGUUUCUGUUAUCACAUCUAUAAACUUUAUACCCAACCAUAAACUAUAAAUAAAGACUAACCAUAAACCAGCCUAAACCAUAAAUAUCCCGUUUAUUGGUAAAAAAGCUGAAAACCGUUUUGUAAAUUUGGCACAUAACUAGCCCUUUGGCUAUUUCGCAAGGGUUGAAAUAUGUGUGUAUGUGAAAUAUAUGCCGAAAUUUGUAAGGAAUAAUCAGGGACUCUAUUAGUAUUUUUUUUAAUGUCGCUUCUAUGCUGGAACUGCUAAGUUAUAGUGUUGUUCUCUUUUCUACAUACGAUCUGUAACGCAACAUAGGUAUUUUUUUGUAAUUUAUAUUAAAAUAAUCCACUGGAGGUUAAGUUUGUGUAGCCAUAGGCUCUACUUCUUGGAAUAUUGUUGUAGUAAUCAGUUUAUAAAAUUUUAUGAUGUUUAAUUUGAUUUAAUAAAAGACGAUUA